Molecule: ribosomal RNA, 465 nt
Filed under: uncultured bacterium
Lineage: Bacteria
Description: partial 16S ribosomal RNA
Rfam family: Bacterial small subunit ribosomal RNA
Source: RNAcentral
CCUACGGGAGGCAGCAGUGGGGAAUAUUGCGCAAUGGGCGAAAGCCUGACGCAGCGACGCCGCGUGAGGGAUGAAGGUCUUCGGAUCGUAAACCUCUGUCAGCAGGGAAGAACGGUCACUGUGCUAAUCAGCAGUGAAUUGACGGUACCUGCAAAGGAAGCACCGGCUAACUCCGUGCCAGCAGCCGCGGUAAUACGGAGGGUGCGAGCGUUAAUCGGAAUUACUGGGCGUAAAGCGCUCGUAUGCGGGAUUUCAAGUUAAGGGGGAAAUCCCCGGGCUCAACGUGGGAACUGCCUUUGAAACUGGGAAACUGGAGUGGGUGAGAGGAUAGUGGAAUUCCAGGUGUAGGAGUGAAAUCCGUAGAUAUCUGGAGGAACAGCGGUGGCGAAGGCGACUAUCUGGCACAUAACUGACGCUGAGGAGCGAAAGCGUGGGUAGCAAACAGGAUUAGAUACCCUUGUAGUC